Molecule: ribosomal RNA, 159 nt
Filed under: Brevibacillus brevis
Lineage: Bacteria; Bacillati; Bacillota; Bacilli; Caryophanales; Paenibacillaceae
Description: partial 16S ribosomal RNA
Rfam family: Bacterial small subunit ribosomal RNA
Source: RNAcentral
UUAUUGGAGAGUUUGAUCCUGGCUCAGGACGAACGCUGGCGGCGUGCCUAAUACAUGCAAGUCGAGCGAGGGUCUUCGGACCCUAGCGGCGGACGGGUGAGUAACACGUAGGCAACCUGCCUCUCAGACUGGGAUAACAUAGGGAAACUUAUGCUAAUA